ACCACCGCUCGCCGGCGCCAUCCUAAGCAUACUUACCUGGCCCGCUUCUCGAGGUGGUCACCAUGGCCUCGGUUGUGUGGUCGGUCUUCACCUUGCACUUUGUGAGGGCCUUCCGCAGUCGGCCCUUCGGGUGUCCGGCAGGGCUAAAUUUUUGUUAGGCUGAGGACCCGCGCUAUGCGCGGCCUCGGCUCCCAAUUCAGCUGUCGAUCCGCCUCAGAAGCUGCCACCUAAUCUCCCUUCUUCAUCCCCCUGCCCAUCAAAUCCGCUGCCUCAUUUUGCACACUUGCUGGUUGUGGGUGUGCGUUAUAAUGUGAUCGGCGCCGUCCACUAAGUGGUGGGCGGUGAGCACUAAGCAGUGAGCUCACGACUUGCCGAGCGAAGGGUUCCGCAGUUCAGUAUGUGUGCUCGAGAAGGAUUCCAUAUGACAUCAUGUGUGCCUGGGUAUGAGUGGGGCGAGGCGGUCAUCAGAAGGGUUAUCGGGCAGGACCGUCUAAAGGCUCGAGAGCCUAGCAGUGUCAGCGGAGGAUUACAGGGGGCCUUCCGUUCAGGGGAACGCUGCGGUUUUGCUGCAGUGGUGGUGCAUCUGGCUCCGUUUGUGGUUCGUGGUGCGUUUCCUGUCUCCUGGCCCUCUCGCCCUACUCCGCGCCCCUUCCGUCUGCCUGCUUUCCGUUAGGAAGGCGGUCUGGGUAUUGAGGUCUGGUCUAAUGGCCACAACACCCCUGUGCACAACGCAAGCCUCGCGUUGAAACACCUCUCUUGCUCUCCUUCGCUCUACAUGCCGUCUUCCUCCCUUGUCGACGACCCAACAGGUGAACUGGACGCCCACACUCCGCAGAGCGUGUGCCUUGCUUGUGAGGUGCCGCGCGCCUACCCCUCCGACUGGCAGGUGCGCGAUUGAAUUCCCGAAAGCCCUGGCUGCUGGCAGCGUUGCACCUAACGCAACCCAUGUUGGGUCUGGCCGAGUGCAUACCUGGGUCCUGUCGUGAACAAAGAACAACCCACACGCCCUUGCGUUGCGCUGCAUCCCCGGCCAUUCAGCUCCUGUGCGCGGGCAUGGUGGGGCUGGGCCUGCGCUCCCCCAGUUGGCGCUGCGUGCGGAUGUUCCUGCACCUCACGCCCGAGUUCCAGAAGCGGCACAAGGCCUUCCACACGGUGCGGCUGACAAUUUUAUGGCCCUGGGGCUUGGGCAUAUCCCUGGGCCGUUAACGCAUUACUUGUGGAUGACCGCUCGCCAUGCUGCGAGUCUGUAAAUGCGCGGUCGGGGGCAGCCCCACGGUACAUGGUUGUGCUGGGUUGAGGGCAGGCGAGCAGGGACGCACGGCUUCUGCAUCCCUUCACCUGUGCCUGUUGUACCCUGGUCUCUGCACACGCUUACACAUUUGCCAACUGUCCUCUUCACCCCUACCUGCCAACCCGCGCAAUGACGCUGCCCCUCCCCUACGCAUGCACAGGAGCACGGGCCCUUCGUCUACAUCGCCGCGUUCGGUACCCGGCCCAAGCUGUGGCGCCGCGGCCGCGGCUCCCAGCUCAUGUCGGCUGUCCUCAAGAUGGCAGACCAGAAGAACAUGUGAGCCCGCCGUCGUGUCCGCGCCGCAAGCGCUUUGUUGUGCUGUCUUUCGACCGUGUGACGCCUUUGUCCGUGUGCGUGUGGGGUAUGCGCGCACCUUUGUUCGCCCGCACUGUCCCAGGGCUGUGAUGAGCCACCGCUCGGCCACACCUCUUGAUCACGCCCGCUUGGUGCCACGGAAUCUCACAGCAUCCCUGGUGCCCGCACAAGCUCUCACCCGUCCUCUUGGGGCCUAAGACCUAACGUACCGUGAGCGACUGUCACAGGCCCAAACCUCCCUCCCGCUGCAUCCCUGCCCGGCCCCUGCCACGCCCAUUGUCCCGCUCGUUCUCCCGCUACAGGCACUGCUACCUGGAGGCCAGCAGCGACGACAGCCGCCGCUUCUACGCCCGACACGGCUUUGCGCUGAAGGAGGAGCUCUGCGUGCUGCCGCUCACAGCCUCCGACGCCGCCGGCGCGCCGCUGCUGUACAUUAUGGUGCGGCCGCCCCAGGGCGCCGGUGCUGGAGGUGCGGGCGGUGGUGGUGGCGGCGCGGGUGCGCUGGCGGCCGGUGUUGGAGGCAAGGGCGCCGCUGCGGCUGGCGCUGCGGUGGGACCGGUGGCGGCGCCGGCGAAAGCGGCGGAGGUGGUGGUGACGGCGGCGGGCGGCAUCGCGGCGACGGUGGCGGUGCCAGAGGCGGCGGCGGCAGCGGCUGCAUCCACAGAGCCGCAGAAGCAGACGGCGGCGGCGGCGGCUGAGGCUGGGCAAGCUGGAGAGCGUGCGCGACAGGGGGAUGAGCAGGUGUAGGGAUGCUUGUGUGCGUGGCAGUGUACGGUUCAAUGGAGUCUGGGUGUGGGCGGGCAUGUGGCUAGGCGCAAAUGGGCCGGCUGUGCAGGGUGCUACUGCCUGCUUGCCUGCUAGGCUUCCUUUCUCCACUUAUCCGCGCCGUGUGAUCUAAGAAACGGGUUUUCAGGCAGUAACAUUUGUACUUGUGUGCAGGAAGGGUGUCUUGACUCUGGGGCAGGGGCGGUGCCUAGAAGUCGGGAUCUAGAGCGCCGUCUUUCAUGGUCUGUGCGACUGUGCAUACCCGGGACUCCGGGAGGGGAAACGGUCCCGCCAAUGCUGCUGGCUGCUGGGAAUGUGCGAGCCGGGCGUUAAGAGCGUGCGUAUGGAAGGUUCCGUUAGGUAGGGGCGGGGCAUGCGGCGCGUUGGGCAGGAAUGGCUUGGCAUGCACGGGGUGACCUGCGAGGCGACGGUGCAUCGCAAGCUGAGUGUGCAACAUCCCUUCUCCAAUGCACAAUCUUGGGUUGCUGCAGCACCGCGCUUAUAGCACCAGCACUGCUGCAAAUCGCACAGUCAGAGCGACUCGUGCUUGGUAGACUUUACGCGCGACAAGCAAACGGACACUUCAGAAAAGGAGCAUGAAACGAAUUUGACACCACACAUUACAAGGCCACAACAGUCAAAUAGCAGCACCACAUCUAGCGAUGGCGCUGCAGUCUCGACAUGGCCGCGCAACUUUUCUUCACGCUUAUUGGCGCGAGCGUGCGCUUAGACCCUGCCUUAGACGCCCAGUGCUGACGGUUUCAGCUGUUGCAGCAAGUUCUUCAGCGGCGGAAGGGCGCGGCAAAGCGAGCGGCCUGGGGUCCCUCACCUUUCUCGAUUUCGUCGUGCCUUUCAGCACGCCGCUUGCCGCCGCGAUUGCGACAGGCGUCUACACGGGGGUGAGUGCCUCAACAAGUACUUUAGUGCAGCUGAUGCGCGCGCGGGGCUGUCUGGAAGGCGCAGGGCCGCCUCCGCUGCUGAGUGUCACCGUGUUGACACACCAGCCCUCCACACCUGCGCUGGUCUCGCCCCUUUCCAGUCUUCCAAACGCCAAACAAGCACCCGGCCACCCACCUGGCUGUGUGGCGGCUGCCGCGCGCCACCGCACGUCGCCUCACCAAGCGCACCACCCCGUGCGCCUUCCCCAACCCCUCUCCCCCCCCCACACACACACACUUACUCGCAGGCUGUGGGUGCGGAUCUGGCCUGGCCGCUGCGCGCACUGCUGGUGGGCGGCGGGCCGUUGCUGGUGCACCUGCUGUUCCCUGCUGUGGACUGGGCGCUGGGACCCAGUAGGGCGCUGGCGGAGCGGCAGCAGCAGCAGGCGCAGCAGCAGGCGCUAGGGAUCAAGGUGGGCGGCGAGGGUGUGUGUUUGGGCGGGUGGGGGCGGGUGGGCAGUACGGCUGGUUCUGCACCGGUACAGUACGUGGCAUGAAGUUUAUGUGUGUGAAGCGGGAUGGGACGGUGACCGUGUGUUGCUUGAGCUACAACCCACCAUCGCGCGCUCGGCAUGGGGCCCAAGGCCCUGCCAGAGGGGCCACCAGCGCUCGCCGGCGCCAUCCUAAUCAUACUUACCUGGCCCGCUUCUCGAGGUGGUCACCAUGGCCUCGGUUGUGUGGUCGGUCUUCACCUUGCACUUUGUGAGGGCCUUCCGCAGUCGGCCCUUCGGGUGUCCGGCAGGGCUAAAUUUUUGUUAGGCUGAGGACCCGCGCUAUGCGCGGCCUCGGCUCCCAAUUGCAUUGGUUUGGUGUCCUGCCUCAAGAACGUGUACAGCUUUCGAAUUUGGUGGCGUGCGCAUCAAAGCGGAGUAGGGUGCAAAUCGGAGGUGUGGGGCGCACUAAACAGGAUCGGCCAGGGGCCUAGGGGAGAGACUUGAGCCACCAUUGCACUCGGGCUCACCUAACCACCUGCGCUAUGGGUCCAAUGUCGUUGCUGCCCCCCCCCCCUUCCGCGCGCGCCUCGCCCCAACCAUCGGCAGUCAAGGCCGCAUUUUCGCAUAUUGACAUGGUGCUGGUCCACCGCGGACUUAGGCAUGGGCACUAAAUGCAUGUGCCUCGCAGGACCCCACACUGCUCAACUCGUGAGCGUACCAGGCAGACGCUGAGGCAGAUCGGAACGCGCAUGCUCGCUUCAAACGGGAAGCACGACCCACACACCUGACCCCUGACCCCCCUGAAAUCCCACGCCAGAAACCCCCCACGCCUGAAAACCCCCACACCUGAAACCACCCACGCCCCCAGGCCC
RNAcentral lists this long non-coding RNA (4615 nucleotides) under Chlamydomonas reinhardtii. Its description in RNAcentral is "long non-coding RNA (CREI_LNC000516)". The stretch from base 29 to 189 matches the Rfam family "U1 spliceosomal RNA". The record is from RNAcentral. Lineage: Eukaryota; Viridiplantae; Chlorophyta; Chlorophyceae; Chlamydomonadales; Chlamydomonadaceae.